This is a long non-coding RNA of Peromyscus californicus insignis, 6208 nucleotides long. RefSeq lists it as uncharacterized. NCBI's taxonomy places the organism in Eukaryota, Metazoa, Chordata, Mammalia, Rodentia, Cricetidae. The record is from RefSeq and is a predicted model, not a curated record. The transcript has 2 exons.
AAAGUCCAAAGUUUCUUAAAUUAUUCAAAGUCUCUCUAAAAAUCAAGUCUCAGAUAUUCCAAAGUCUCUUAUCUAUGGGCUUAUCUAUGGGCUCCACUUAGUUAUGGAUCCUGUAACAGGACGUACAAUGACGUACACAAUACCUAACAGUGACACACGGGGAUAAACGAUGGAGCAUGUGGCACUCAGCAUGCCAAGCAAAGACAGAGAAAUAUUUCUGUUCUUUCAGAGACUGAUUCGGUCAUGUACCGGGGUACUUUCCCCACCCCUAAGGUGGGUAUAUUAUUUUUCUCAUGGCUCUAACAAAAUAAUUGACAAAGGCUGUUGAAGGAGGGAAGGGUUUAUUUCAGGUUCCAGGUGGAGAGGACAGAGUCCAUCGUGACAGGGAAGUCGUGGCCGUGGGGACGUGCAGCACCUGGUCACACUUCAUCUGUUGUCAGGAAGCAGAGAGAGAGAGAGACAGAUGCUGAUGCUCAGCUCAGUUUCUUACUCAGUCUAGAAUCCCAGCCCACUGGGUGGUGCCAUCCACAUUUAGAGUGGAUUUUCCACGUUAGUUAAUCCAGUCUACCAAUCUAGAAACUCCCUCACAGGCAAGCUCAGAGACCUGUCUCCCAAAUGAUGCUAGAUCUUGUCAAGUUGACAGUCGGUAUUAAUGAUCACAGUGUGUGUGUUUAAAAUUGACUCUCAGGCUGGAGAGCUGGCUCAGAGGUUAAGAGCCCUGACUGUUCUUCCAGAGGUCCUGAGUUCAAUUCCCAGCAACCACAAGGUGGCUCACAACCACCUGUAAUGAGAUCUGGUGCCCUCUUCUGGCCUGCAGGGAUACGUGCAGGCAGAACACUGUAUACAUAAUAAAUAAAUACAUCUUGAAAAAGAUAAAAUAAAAUUGACUCUCACAGUACAUUUAAUUUGCUGUAGAAACAGCUACCUUGGGUUGAGUCUUUCCUGUCAGGCAAGGUGUCAAACACUUGUAUGUUAUUUCAGUCAUAUUUUCCAUAAUCUUGUCAAGCAGAUGGUAUACCUUCAUUUCACAGAUGAAAAAGCAAGGCCCAGAAAGCCAAGUAAGCAGCUGCCCAAUGUGAUGAAUUGAGACAGGAUUUGAACACAGGCCUUCUGGGUCCCAAGUCUAUACUUAGAAACAUCAGUCUUGAUGAAUUUAAAAAAUAUAUAUGAUCAUAAUCAUGUUUACUGACUUUCAGUUGCAAUAACACAGUCACUAAGAUUCCUCCCUCCAAUUUGAAAGCAAUGAGAAUUAUUAGAAAAUGAAGUACAAAUAGGUAGAUUUCAUCUAGGUUGGGUUUUUUUUUGUUUUUUUUUUUUUGGUUGGGUGGUUUUUUUUUGGUUGUUGUUUUGCUGUAUAUCUUGUUUUUGUUUUGUCAAGUUAAAACACACUAGAGUUACCUCGGAAGAGGAACCUCAAUUGAAAAAAAGCCUCCAUCAGACUGGCCUGCAGGCAAGUCAGUCUGGCAUUUUCUUGACUAAAAAUUGAUGUGGGAAAGCCCAGACCACUGUGGGUGUGGCUACGGAGCGGAUAGUCCUGGGUUGUACAAGCCACUACCAAUCUAAUUACACCUUUCCUCUCUCAGUCUGUACUGUGUAGUUUUGGGUAGUUGCUGACACUAAUCAAAUAAUUCUUUAAUUUGUCUGCCAUCCACUAAUGCAGAAGAAAGGCUGGAGAAAAGAAAGAUGUCACAUAUGACUACAAGUUAAAAGCACAGUCGAGCUUUCAGGAGUCAGGGAGAACCGACCUCCCAACCUACCCAUUCACCCAUCUCUAGACAGUGCUCCAGGAGCAAAUUUCUGUGUAGCCACUCUGGCAGGACUGGGGACGAAACCAAUCAGUCAAAGAAUGUGCUGUUUUACAGGAUAUGCUUUAAACAAACAAACAAACAAACAAAAACUCAGCAAAACAAAACAAAAAAGUUCAGCUUUCACAAAAGGUUAAGACAGUUCAUAACACUGUAAGCCUAACUGCUUACUGUUGCGAAUGCUAUGUACAGCUUUACGUUGGAAAGUUCCUUACAGGUAUGAAGUCAUACAAACGUUAACUAAAUGCAUGGUAGCAGGAAGCCACCACCCAUAUGACACAGUACGCACAGAUAUGACAUUAUAACAAUAGCGAAUGUCAAGGGAUAGGAAGAGCCUAUGGGAGCACUUUUAUACUCUACAUUUUAAGGACACGUUUGUAACACGUACUGUAGAAAGGAACCUUUACACAUCCCUGGUCAUGGUUUGCUGUUCUGAGUUAACCCCUGGUCCAGGCAGCACCAGGAGAAACACUGGACUUGGCAGCCUGAAGAAUGGCCAAACCCAGUUCAAGAGAGGCUGCCAUGAGGAAGUGCAGACAUUAAGGAGGACCGCAGACACCAUAAACUUCAGGGACUAGGCAGACCUCCUGACCAGAGGGCCAAGACUAGAAUGGUAGACUGCCUCUGUUUCCCCCCUCGCCAUAUCAGCCGCUGGCUGCAGCUGACUUAGCAGAGGGUGUUCAAAGGUAUGAACACCGCCUCCCUCUCAGGUCACUGGCUCUCUGCAUAAACUACAACUCAAAGGUUCAGUUUCCAAGGAUAGAGAGGUAAGAGAUAGAAAGGGGUUGGGGCAGACAGACAGACAGACAUAGUGAGAGAGAGAGAGACAUUGAUUUCAUAAAUGCAGUCUUUAUUAUCAGGGAAUUGACUUACAAAACUGUGCUAACACCCUUAAUUUACUGAACACCUACUAUGUGUCUGACAGGAAGACACCUUCACAGAGUUUUGAUUCCUGCCCUGAGGAAGAUCAGUGGGUAAUCUCUCACACACAGAACAAACAUCACUGACACUACAUAAACCCAGGCAAGCACCUGGCUAGCACUUGGCUAGAGGCUCUCUACCCAAGCCACCUGUCCUAACCAUAUCCUGCUGACCACCCUGAGUCAAAGCUUCCUGGGCCCAGGAAACACUCAGAAUCCCCUAAGGAAGGAACCAGCACCAACAGUACCCCCACCUACAUGCCCUUCUUCACUGAGAAGGCAAGCCCACAGCACAGGCUGGUGGACACACAACCAUGUUUGGUCAAUGAUUCCUUCAGCAAACACUCAUCACCCUGGGUAAGCAGCCAUAAAUCCCAGUUGCUACCUUACCAUUUCCUGUAAAGUGGGACAAGUCAUUUCCUGUACUGGUUGCCUCAAAGACCACAAGAGACAAGCCUUCCUCUCCUGGUAAAAUGGAACGCGCGCGCACACACGAACACACACGCACACACAGCUUCUUUGGAGUGUGUUCUGAAUUAGCCACGUAGUCUCUCGAAUCCGUGACCUUUCCCCCUAUAUUCUAAAACACUGGGAAUUACUCCACUCCUUUAUGAAGUCUCUUUGUAAACCACUCUGCAUCUGAGAGUUAGAGACAACAAUUUCUGCUUCCCCCCAAUAAAAACCCCUGACCUCCCAAGGUCUCUAGCUGGAUAACAAUGAACUGUACCAAAAAGGAGUUACGCUUGUACAAUCAAAACACCUGAACCUAAAGACCGUGUAAGACCACACACCAUGAAAGCGCAGGAGAAUAGGGGGCCCGCCAAAGAUGGGCAACGGCAGGCGGAAGGUAACCAGAGGGUCUUAGUGAAGCAGCAGUGGUCCCCUGUGGGGGCCACAGGGGCCAGGGAGAGCCCAUCCUCGGCAGAGCGCCCCCACCACCACCUCACCCGCCAUGGGUGGAGAAGGGGGGGCCAGGACUAAGCGGCUCUACGGAAGAUACCAUUAGGAUAGGGGACACUGGAGAAGGGAUGCGCUGGGUUGGGGAAGACACAACCAGGGUGUGGGCCUUUAGGGAACGCGGAAAGGACCCUGGGGGAAGGGAAGGGGCACGAGACUGGACCAGACAUAGGCAGGGAAGGAUAAGAUUAAGGAGGGGAAACUGGGGAAGUCCGCAGGGACCCAGGGAAGGGGGGGGGGGGACGCUAGGCUAGACAAAACAUUAGGAAAGACUACGCGAGGAAGACAGAUCAGGAUGGAGACAAGGAAGGGGAAAGGGGGAAGAGACAGAGACUUGGAGGUGGGGGGAAGGAGACAGGAGAUGGUGGGGAUACAAUCAAGAUUCUGGAGGUGCGGAGGCAGAGGCUGAGGUAAAGCAAUCAGGAUACGGACAGCGGAGGAAAGGCAGGAGCCGGCGGGGGGCGCGGAUUCAAUCAGAAAGGGCGACACUAAGGGAAGGGGGAGGGGCGUGGGUCAGAAUGGAGACACUCGAGAAAGGAAAGGGAGCAAGACCGGGGGAGGAACUUUGGGGAAGGGAGAAGGAACAGGCGCUGAGAGGGGUCACCGAAGAAGAGAGCAGCGAGGACUUGAGGCUGAGCAAGUGGGCGCGGCCAGCAAGAGCUUCGUAGAGAAGUGCGUGGCCGCCGGACUAGGGCAAGCUGAGCCUGGAACACCCCGGAGCCAGAAAUGAGGACAUGCGUGCUCAAAAGCUGAAAAAUGGAGAUGUCAAAACUGAAACAGCAACCAAGGACCAAAGCUGGGUGUCGUCGCAAGAAGUCACAUAGGAUUAUUAUAGCUUAAAAUAUAAAACAUAUAAAGAAAUGAAUGAGGAAGGAUUUGGGACUAUAAUCCCAGAACUAGGAGGCUGAGUCAAGAGGUUCAUGAGUUUGAGGCCAGCCUGAGCUACAUAGCCAUUGUCACAAAUGCAAGUAAACAAACAAAUUCAUUAGGAGGGCAUGGUGGUACACAACUGUAAUCGCAACACUUGGGAGCUCCAGGCCAGUCUGGGAAUUCUUGAGAUCGCAUCUCAAAAAACAACAACAACAAAAAAAAAACUAUCAUACUGUUUGAAUGAUAGUGCCUCGUGUGUCUCAUAUUGUUUCUAGGUUGUUUGUAUCUCAAACAAUGAAUUGGACAAGACAUAGAAGUAAUGAAGGUGUACAUUUAUUUUAAAAGAAAAAUGUGUAGAAUAUACUCCCCAGAAUGGGAACAGGCCUGAGCAAGCAUAAGACCCAAGACCUCCAUGUCCUUUUGGAGCAUCCUUUUUUAUGAGCUUGGGUAAAGGGAGGAGCAGAUUCCCUGGAUGAAAAUUAGGUAGACCCCCUACCGUGAUUGGCAGAUGGGCUUAAUGUUAAAUAGCUUUGGACCAUCUUUAAGUUGGUGGGUUGUAUAUCCUCUAACUUUAAGCAUGCGCAUAUGCCCCCCCCCCCUUGUGCUUAUACGUGAGACAGUAAACAUAAUCCUUUAAUAGUUUGGUUCAAGGAAACAUUUGCCCUCGCAGCUCUUACACCCCGAAACUGUUUUAAGAUGGACUUGUUUAUCUGCCCUUCUACUAUGAAAUGCCCGACCCCAAAUUACCUACAGAAGAGGAGAGGCUGGGUGCUGCCCCAAUGGGGACAGAGACAGAGGAAAGGUGCUUGCUGAUCAUCAGGCAGUCCCUGUGCUCACCUGAAUCAGUAGAAGUAUAGACGCUGUGCUGGCUAGUUUUUGUGACCUUGACACAAACUAGGGUCAUUUGGAAAGAGGAAACUCCAACUGAGGGAAAAAAACAAAACAAAAACAAAAAAACAAAAAAAAAGUUCUUAGUGACCGACCGACCUCGAAGAUCUGCCCAGUGGAAGACAGCAGACAGCGUGGACCUCUCCACCCUUUCCCCAAGCCUCUGAAUAAAGUGUUUUGACUCUAAAAAAAAAAAAAAAAAAAACCUCCAUCAGAGUGACGCAUGGAUAAGUCUGAAAGGACCAAGCAGAUGCCAUAACAGGCUGCUCAGUCUUCUCUCAGAGAUCAGGCCUCAAUUUCAGUUUCCUGAGACUUGAGCAAGCAGUUUCUGGGAGGGCCAUGAACAAAAGACUGCUCAAAGUUUAGCCAGAUGUUUACUUUCUGGGGCCCCUCACCAACUUAGAGUUAUGUGCAGUACGUGCUUGACCAGCCAGCCCCCAUGGUGGCUCAAGGACAAAGCCUGGGACUUGUGCUGGACUGCCCCCAAAGUAAUAAAUUGUAACCACCAACCAGUAAAUUCAAAGGUUACAUACCCUCACCCAAUUAAAAGAGAACAGAGAUAAAGAUAAACCAAUCCGAGUUACACCCGUGCAAAACUCCCCCAACCCCCCUGAAGGGCUUGUGGAUUUUGCCUUUAAAAAGCUAGCCACACAAAGAAAAAGCAAGUUCCUCCUGGCCUCACGACUACGAGUGAGUGCUUUGGAUCGAGCUUCCCUGUCCGCGGCUUGUAAACAGAAAUAAACCAUGCUAAUUGCAUUCUGAACCUAA